RNAcentral lists this ribosomal RNA (253 nucleotides) under uncultured bacterium. RNAcentral's name for it is "partial 16S ribosomal RNA". It matches the Rfam family "Bacterial small subunit ribosomal RNA", at positions 524 to 776 of the family's 1533-position model. The record is from RNAcentral.
GACAGAGGGUGCAAACGUUGUUCGGAAUUACUGGGCGUAAAGCGCGUGUAGGCGGCCAUCUAAGUCGGGCGUGAAAUCCCUCAGCUUAACUGGGGAACUGCGUCCGAUACUGGAUGGCUUGAGUUUGGGAGAGGGAUGCGGAAUUCCAGGUGUAGCGGUGAAAUGCGUAGAUAUCUGGAGGAACACCGGUGGCGAAGGCGGCAUCCUGGACCAACACUGACACUGAGGAGCGAAAGCCAGGGGAGCAAACGGG